AAUGAACGCUGGCGGCGUGCCUAACACAUGCAAGUCGAGCGAGAAAGUUCCUUCGGGAAUGAGUAAAGCGGCGGACGGUUGAGUAACACGUGAGAAUCUACCCUUUAGUGAAGAAUACCUUCGAGAAAUCGAAAUUAAUACUGCAUAAGUCCCUUCGGGGAGAAAAGUGGCCUCUUUGCUACUGCUAAAAGGAUGAGCUUGCGGACUAUCAGCUAGUUGGUGAGGUAAAGGCUCACCAAGGCUAUGACGGUUAGCCGGCCUGAGAGGGUGAACGGCCAGACUGGAACUUAGACACGGUCCAGACUCCUACGGGAGGCAGCAGUGAGGAAUAUUGCGCAAUGGGCGAAAGCCUGACGCAGCGACGCCGCGUGGAGGAUGAAGGUUUUCGGAUCGUAAACUCCUGUUAAGUGGGAAGAAAAGUCUGUGGUUAAUACCCGCAGAAAAUGACGGUACCAUUAUAGAAAGCACCGGCUAACUACGUAGCCAGCAGCCGCGGUAAU
This 500-nucleotide ribosomal RNA is filed under the name uncultured bacterium. RNAcentral describes it as "bacterial SSU rRNA". It matches the Rfam family "Bacterial small subunit ribosomal RNA", at positions 29 to 524 of the family's 1533-position model. The record is from RNAcentral.